AGGUGUUCUCUCUUUAAAUCUGAGGCCGAAUUCGUAGCUUUUCAAGACGAUUUGAAGGUUAUCUAGUUUCCAGGAGAAGCUGGUGUCGUGGAUCGAGGGACCAUAAUUCAAGAAUCACUGCUGUGAAAUGUUAAGACUGAAUUUCCCCGGCCACACUUCACAGUGAAGCACUGUAAAAGGAGAUGAACAUAUUCCCAAGUGUGCCCAACAUUUGCAUCGCAUCCCAGUUCUUACGCAAUUACUCUGUAAACGUAUAAAAAUCUGCACGUGCUCGUCAGCAAAGCCCAGGAUAAUUUAUCAGCAGAAAUGGUGCUCGGUCAUAAAUCUAUCCCUGGGGGCCUGGACCACAGAGUUGACUACAAGGCAUCAUGUGUGCUGAUUUGAAGAGAAUCUUCUAAGCACUGAUUAUCCCAAAAGAGGCACACAAUUUAAUUUGUAAUCCUCUGAAUUCUCCUGUCAUUCAGGCAGAAGAGUUAUGUAAUAGAGAGACAGCUUCCGAAAUGGGUUCAUCAAUCAACAACAAAACAAAAAACAAAAAAAAAUGGGUUUAUCAUUUUCUUUCAUUCGUUCAUUCUUUUAUGUAUUCCUUCUUCAAAAACUUUUCAACAUCUAGUUUAUAUCAAGGAUUAUGAUAGAAAGUAGGGGGAACUCGAAAUUUUUACCUCAAGGAACCUUCCAUUCUGAGACAAAGGAAACAUGAUUCUGAGACAAAGAAGGCAUCAUGACUAACAUUUGUAUGAAUAUUAAAGUAUAUAAAGCAUUCUCAUAUUUUACCUCCUGUGAUCAUCAGUGGAUACCUCUAAGAUUACCAUGCCGAAGUGUGACAAAGACUCUGAAACACCUAAGAUGCCUUUCUUUAUGGGGACUUCCAGUAAAUUCAUUGGCAUUAUCUUUGCAUGAGUUAUGCCUUAAACUGAGAAAAGACUUCUCAGGUUCAGCUUUCGCUGUUUCUCUCAGACCUCCACAGCUCACCCCCCAUUGAACCGGAGCUCCAGUUUCCAGGUGGUCAGAAACCGGAGCAAGCGAAGAGUCAAUGCCAAGGGGCUUCAGCUCUUUCUUUCUCCUGUCGCCCUAAAGAAGGAAUCUCAGCAUGUCAUCAUUCAAUAAAUUGAGCUCUGUACAGCGGCCUUUACAGAACUGUAAAAGAUGGGUUCUCAUUAAAAGAACAGUCAAGAAGCAUCACAGAAGUGAGAUCAGCGCUGGAACCAAAGAGAAACGUGUGUGUAAUAAAGUACACAGAGCUGGAUUCAUUAGUUUUGUGUUUUCUAAAGAAUUAUACUAAAGCACCACAGAUUUCUCAGCUCUAUAAAACAUGGAGAGCAAUCGUCUUUCCCAAUGUCCAUUAGUAAACUUACUAGGAAAUCACUCGGAAACUUUGGCAUGUUCAACAAUAGCAUUCAUGUCUUUCAUCAUUUCUGACAGUCAGGAGUUUGGGGGCAGCUUGAAUGAGUGGUUCUGGCUGGAGGAUUCUCCUGAGGCUAUUAGGUGGUGGCCAAGACCAGGGUGCUUGAAGACUUCUUACAUCAUGGCCUGGACUAAGAAGAGCCAAACAGGGUAAACAAGACACAGGCUUUCUUAGGCAACUCUUUGUGGCCCCUCCUCAUGAUUGCCUCAGGGUGGUGGCUUCAAGGUGGCCUAGGAUAUUUUUUUAAGAUUUUCUUUAUUUAUUCAUGAGAGACAUAGAGAAAGGCAGAAACAUAGAGGGUGAAGCAGGCUCCAGGCAGGGAGCCUGACACAGGACUCAAUCUCAGGACCCCAGGAUCAUGACCUAAGCCAAAGGCAGAUGCUCAACCACGAGCCAUUCAGGCAUCCGGUUGGCCUAGGAUUCUUACAUGGCAUUUAGGGAUGCAAAAGUGUGUGCCCUGAGCUGACCUAUGUUCUAUAAGCAAACUCCAGAAGACACACAGUGAACUUUUGUCCACAUUCAAGGUCAAGAUGGAAAGAGGAACUGCCCAACUUCUCAAUAAAGGGAUGUUAACAUCACAGUGGGAGAAAAAACUGGGAUCUUCCAUCCUUGAAAAGUACAAUCCAUGACAUGAAGGUUCUUAGAAUUCUAAAUGGACUCAGUUCAAGUUUACAAAUCAAAUCCCACCUGUUGAUUUUAGUGGGCUGAACUGGAUUUGUACUUCUAAUUAUAUCCCACCAUCUGACAGAGGGCUCUAUCCAGAGAGUUUAGUUAGUAGGUCUAUGGCCUAGCCAUGAUGCGUUCCACAGGGAAAAGAAUGAAGUCACAGGCUGGAAUCUAGUCCUUCUCUGACAUAAGUAACUAUGGGAACAGGUUUAACCACUCCAUGCUUUGGCUAAUAUGUAAAAUGAAGAUCAUACUAACUCCCCUUCCUGUUAUCACACAACUCAUGAGAACGAUUCAUGUAUUCAUGGGCCACACAAAUUUGAGGCUCUAAGAGGAAACCUAAACUGAUAGCAGAACUGUAUUCUCUCUAUGAUCCCAUCUAUAGAAUUUCAGAAACUCCAGCCACAUUCAAAUUACUCUUAAUUAAUUUUGGAAGUUCCAGGGAAAGGAUUGGCAUCCACUGUACCCUUUCCUCCUCUACAGUUCCUGAAUGUGAUGUCUUAGGAGAAUGUUAUCAUGCUCAAGUGGGAAUGCCACUAGCCAUCUCCAUUCGUGCUACUUAUUCUCAAAAGGAUGUUUUCUCGUGCUCCUGAGGACUCAGCCAUCGGGCUGUGGCAAAGAGAAAUCAGACUAGCAAAUGCCAGCUGGCUUUCAAAAUCACUCUUCCUCUUUAACCACAACCCUUAUCCUACAAUCAAGCUCUUGUGUCUUGACCCCUCUUACAUUUGGAAGAACUCCUUUCCAGUAAGCUCUUUGUUCCUCCAUGUAAAUAGAAACACAGCUGUCUGGCCUCAUGAGCCCUCGAAGCAUGACCAGACUUUCUCAAUCCCCAGAUUAGGUUAGGUUUUGCUGAUUUUAUCAUUAAUUGCAGUUCUAACUCAUCAGCCAUAGCUGACUGAAAUAUCCUGGAGGAGGGUAUAGGGUCAGAGGAAAGAGCACCUGCAUCAGUUAAUACCAUCUGCCAGAGGUACAGGAGGCAGGGGAUGGUAACAGGAAAUCUCAGUGUUACCCAAGUUGAGCCUGAACUGAGGCCAGAGGGUGCAGCAAGAUCCUAGCCUGCGAAUCCAGGCAACUGAAGGUGACGAGUUAGGAGUAUUGUCAGGACUGUGUGUAUGGCAGCCAGGGGCAUGGUGUGGGGAUGAGAAGACCGAAAUAGCAAAUACGCUAUGAUCCAUGAAAAUG
Long non-coding RNA from Canis lupus familiaris (dog), 3253 nucleotides. RefSeq lists it as uncharacterized. The record is from RefSeq and is a predicted model, not a curated record. NCBI's taxonomy places the organism in Eukaryota, Metazoa, Chordata, Mammalia, Carnivora, Canidae. The transcript is spliced from 3 exons.